UCUAGGAGAUGGCAAACCACCAUUUGGCCACCAUUCCUGUAGACCAUGAACUAUGCGAGACCCAGGAACUUGGAGGUGUGCUUGGUGCAUUUAAGGAUUUAGUGUAGAGAAAUCUAGUCAACAGUUGGAAUUACAGACCAGAGAUGAGGAACCAGGAGGAAACUGAUGUUCAUUGGGCAACAGAUUAUUGUGAUGUCGUAGGUAUGGUGAAAUUGCUCACCAAGCAACAAGAGAAAAGAGUCAAUGAUUUAGAACAUCAAUAUUUCAGGGAUGGUAAGAAGAAAAGGAACCAGGGCAGAAAUCUAAAAAGGCUUGAUUGUUGAGAGAUAUCAGCCAUCUUGAUUGGUGAUGUGUUCACAGUCUGGAUUUGAUCACCCCAAUUGCAUUCUGCUUAUCAGAUUUGGAAUCCUGAUCUACAAAAGAAAGUUGCUUUUCCCCCUCCAACCCAACCCCCUACUGAUUGAUUUUUGAAGAGCCAGCCCAAAUAGCAGUGGUAAAGAGAGAGCAAGGGAGAAGGAGAGAGAAUGAUCAACAUGAGAGUGAAACAUUGACCUACUGCCUCCUGCACGCCCCCUACCAGAGACCAAGCAUGUGCCCUGACUAGGAAUUGAACUGGUAACCCUUUAGUGCACAGGACAAUACCCAACCAAGGGUACUGAUCAUAUCCAUCUUGCUCAACGUGAUGAACACCCAACACAGUUUAAGCUUUGUACCCAGGCCUCUGCUAGGUGUUUUAUAUACCUCCUCUCAUUGGAAGCCACACCCAUCUUAUGAG
Molecule: long non-coding RNA, 775 nt
Organism: Eptesicus fuscus (big brown bat)
Lineage: Eukaryota; Metazoa; Chordata; Mammalia; Chiroptera; Vespertilionidae
Exons: 6
Source: RefSeq, a predicted model, not a curated record